CAGUGAAAGUUUGGCCGUACGAUUUAGUCGGCCAGCCAGGAGUGGUGUGAAAACAGCCAAGCUGCUGAAAUACUCAUUCGGGCCACAUUUGCUCGAAGGGAUGAAGCUGCUGCUGCCAGUAACAUUUCCCGGGCUGCUUCUCUCCACCACAGGGCCAAGACGGGGACUUCCAGUCGCAGCCUCAGCAAAAAGAAGCCCCCUGUGGAAUCCAGGAGGAACAAGGAAAGAAAAACCCAGCAGGAGUGUCAGCAGACCUCGGCCUCUGACCCCACGGACGUCCAGGAAGAGGAGUCUAGGCGCAGACCCCGUGCUGCAGAGCCAGCUGUCCCACCACCGCGGGAAGACAGCCUGCCUCCCCCUGGAGAGACAGCAGCCGGUGGCUUCUUCGGCUUUGUGCGCGCCCUCUUCCCGUUCCGGUACUUCUUCAGGAAGAGCAGCGGGGAGCCUGCCCAGAGCGAGGGCACCUGGAGCCCCGCGGCCGCGCCUCCUCCGGCCCCGUCCUCGCCUUAGGACGCCUCGGCCACGAGCACCGAGGCCCCAUGAGGGGUCCUCCCGUGGGUUUGUCCGGUUCUUUGCCACCUUAUAAUUGAAUGUUUUUGUUCCAAUUUAAAAUUAAAUUUUUUAAAAAGAAUGCAACUUCCUAACAUCUUGGGAAUUUCGCUGCCCCGGGGCCAGUUUAGUGUUGUGUCUUCAGCACUUAGGAGCCUACUGAUGAUAAGUUGUUUACGGAGAGUUACUGAUGGAAUAAGUGGAAGUGGAGAGAACCAGCUGUUCCUCCAGGUCCGAGAAACAGCACCUGAGCUUCGACCCCCGCCGGCACUGCCGGGCCGAGGAGAAGGGGCCUUGAGACUCCCUUCUGAGCCCUACUGACCCCCAAAGAAGUGAUCUCCCCCCCAAACUCACCCAGUUUGGCAGCAAAGUGUAGCUUCUCCAAGGUAACGCGCCUGUCGCCUGCUGUCCCUCAGGCUUUGACGGGAAAGCCCGUCACUCUGUCGGGUCGGCGCUGGGGUCAGCAGACGAGGACCCCGGAGAAGACCAGGGCACCGGAGCUCCACCUGCAGCCAAGGCACUGGGCUGGGACAGUUUAGAUGUGCAUGGGACCAAAUGACCAGUGAGAUGUGGAGGUCGCGUCCACUCGGAGCGAGGGAAGCGUUUUCCACCCUUGUUACACAUUAACGUCAGCCAUCUCAAAACACACCGAACGCCGGAGUAAGGGAAAGGGCUUAUUGGGGAACACCCCACAGUCUGGAGUGAAGGGGCGGCGAAGGGGAAAGAGAAAGAGUAUAAGAGAGAAACAGAGAGGAGAGGAGCUAGCGAGGAGAGAAGAGGGAGGAGAGAGCAGAGAGAGCCAAGAGACCAGAGGAGGCGACUAGAGAGGAACCGAGAGAGCGCAGGAGAGAAGCCACGAGAGCAGAGCCAGAGAGCGCGUGCAGGAACAGGCCCUGUAACACUUUGUCUGAGGGGCAGGGAAGCAGGAGCAGUAGGAUGGGGGUGGAGCCUGGCACAGGUAGCUGGCCCUGCGGCCACCUGGCUACAACUGCGCCAGUUUCCUAACAACCCUAAUAGACGUCCGGUGCUGGAACAGG
Oryctolagus cuniculus (rabbit) is the source of this 1586-nucleotide long non-coding RNA. NCBI's taxonomy places the organism in Eukaryota, Metazoa, Chordata, Mammalia, Lagomorpha, Leporidae. The record is from Ensembl.